GGGUUCGAUUCCGGAGAGGGAGCCUGAGAAACGGCUACCACAUCCAAGGAAGGCAGCAGGCGCGCAAAUUACCCAAUCCCGACACGGGGAGGUAGUGACAAUAAAUAACAACACAGGGCUCUUUUGGGUCUUGUUAUUGGAAUGAGUACGAUUUAAAUCUCCUAACGAGGAACAAUUGGAGGGCAAGUCUGGUGCCAGCAGCCGCGGUAAUUCCAGCUCCAAUAGCGUAUAUUAAAGUUGUUGCAGUUAAAAAGCUCGUAGUUGAAUUUCAGGCCUGGCUGGACGGUCCGCCCUUCGGGUGAGUACUGUCUGUGGUCGGGUCCUACCUUCUGGCGAAGCGUCAUGGCCUUAACCGGCCGUGGCGGGGAACCAGGACUUUUACUGUGAAAAAAUUAGAGUGUUCAAAGCAGGCAAUCGCUUGGAUACAUUAGCAUGGAAUAAUGGAAUAGGACAAUGGUUCUAUUUGUUGGUUUCUAGGACCGUUGUAAUGAUUAAUAGGGAUAGUUGGGGGCAUUAGUAUUCAAUUGUCAGAGGUGAAAUUCUUGGAUUUAUUGAAGACUAACUACUGCGAAAGCAUUUGCCAAGGAUGUUUUCAUUAAUCAAGAACGAAAGUUAGGGGAUCGAAGACGAUCAGAUACCGUCGUAGUCUUAACCAUAAACUAUGCCGACUAGGAAUCGGGCGAUGUUGAAAAAAU
RNAcentral lists this ribosomal RNA (695 nucleotides) under uncultured Glomeromycotina. Its description in RNAcentral is "SSU rRNA". It matches the Rfam family "Eukaryotic small subunit ribosomal RNA", at positions 373 to 1072 of the family's 1831-position model. The record is from RNAcentral. Lineage: Eukaryota; Fungi; Glomeromycota.